GGUUACUGCUAUCGGUGUUCGCCUAAGCCAUGCGAGUCAUAUGUUCGUAAGAACAUGGCGUACUGCUCAGUAACACGUGGAUAACCUGCCCUUGGGUCCGGCAUAACCCCGGGAAACUGGGGAUAAUUCCGGAUAACGCACAUAUGCUGGAAUGCUUUAUGCGUAAAAUGGAUUCGUCUGCCCAAGGAUGGGUCUGCGGCCUAUCAGGUAGUAGUGGGUGUAAUGUACCUACUAGCCUACGACGGGUACGGGUUGCGAGAGCAAGAGCCCGGAGAUGGAUUCUGAGACAUGAAUCCAGGCCCUACGGGGCGCAGCAGGCGCGAAAACUUUACAAUGCGGGAAACCGUGAUAAGGGGACACCGAGUGCCAGCAUCCUAUGCUGGCUGUCCGGGUGUGUAAAAUACACCUGUUAGCAAGGGCCGGGCAAGACCGGUGCCAGCCGCCGCGGUAACACCGGCGGCCCGAGUGGUGAUCGUGAUUAUUGGGUCUAAAGGGUCCGUAGCCGGUUUGGUCAGUCCUCCGGGAAAUCUGACGGCUUAACCGUUAGGCUUUCGGGGGAUACUGCCAGACUUGGAACCGGGAGAGGUAAGAGGUACUACAGGGGUAGGAGUGAAAUCUUGUAAUCCCUGUGGGACCACCUGUGGCGAAGGCGUCUUACCAGAACGGGUUCGACGGUGAGGGACGAAAGCUGGGGGCACGAACCGGAUUAGAUACCCGGGUAGUCCCAGCCGUAAACGAUGCUCGCUAGGUGUCAGGCAUGGCGCGACCGUGUCUGGUGCCGCAGGGAAGCCGUGAAGCGA
RNAcentral lists this ribosomal RNA (800 nucleotides) under uncultured archaeon. RNAcentral's name for it is "bacterial SSU rRNA". It matches the Rfam family "Archaeal small subunit ribosomal RNA", at positions 21 to 822 of the family's 1478-position model. The record is from RNAcentral.